GGGCCUGUAGCUCAAUGGUAGAGCCGCGGACUUUUAAUCCGUAGGUUGUGGGUUCGAGUCCCACCGGGCCUACCG
Molecule: transfer RNA, 75 nt
Filed under: Actinomyces sp.
Lineage: Bacteria; Bacillati; Actinomycetota; Actinomycetes; Actinomycetales; Actinomycetaceae
Also listed under: 1 other name
Description: tRNA-Lys
Rfam family: tRNA
About the family: Transfer RNA (tRNA) molecules are approximately 80 nucleotides in length.
Source: RNAcentral